CGAUAUAUGUUUAGGAAAUUCGUAAACACAACCGUACGCAUAUAUGCCAUUUUCAGAAGUGUUAAGAGUACAGUGCAUUAUGGGGCAGAGCUUUCAUUGGACGAGCGACAUUAAAUUUAGAUUGAAUGCAAUACGACUCAUGUACAAAAAAAAUGUUUUAUUGCGUCAUACGCAUGCAAAAAACGUGUUUCUCAGGGACUUUCUGAUACCGCGCGAAAAUGAAAGUGAACCUCUGUUAACAAUUGCCGGUACACUGCGUUCGCAUGUAAAUAAAUCGUCUGCAUUAUUUAAUUUCUUAUACACGAAAUGAAAGAUUAAAUGACAAAAUACCAGAAUGAUAAUGAAAUGACAGAAAAAGUUGUUUAAUACAGUAGGCAGUAUAUUUCACAGCCGCGCAUUUCAUUUAGUCAAACUGCAUCCAUAUCAAAGUAAGAAUGUUUCAAUCGUUUUGAAUUACUUGAAUUGUAUAACUAUCCCGCUUGCACUUAUGGAAAUUAUCGCACUGAACCGCUCUGAUGAGGAAUACAUGUAAUAAACACUGACACGCGAGUUUUUCACACCUUUAUUGACAUUACACAACAGAUUAACACCAAUUAGCUGUCGGUGUUGUUUAACCUCGAGGCGAUUAUAAUCGGUUCAACGGACGGUUGAAUAAAGCAAUCAACAUGACUGUGAUUGCCGCCAUCUUUGAAUUGUCUGAAAAUACAUGAAGUUGCAUAAUACGGAUUUGAAUCAGAAAUCAAAUGGAAGGUUGGAGAAAAAAUGGGAUCCAAGCACCCUCCGCGUUAUAUUGGAUUCAGCGUUAUAACGGAGCGCUUUAUAUUGGAGUUACAGUGUAUUGUUAAAACUGUUAAAUCUAAAACAGACUUAAAAAACAACAGCCCAUCUGUGUCGAACCAGGAAGGCACAGCCACAUGCAGAGAGUGUGCAGAUAGAAGAUUCAAAUUCCAGGACCUUCGCAACUUUCAGCUGUAGUAUCAAACUCGCAGACAUCCAUUGACAAAUUCGUUUAAAAAAAUGAUAUGUUGAACGCGAAAGUAUUUUUGGUAUUUAUACCGUUUGCACACAACCAUCCUUUAAUUCCAAUAAAAACAUUACAAAGUUUUUUCAGGUUGUGUUCCAUGACAGUACCAUAGCAAAGCAUAAUUAUGUGGCUGUUUUGGGGCUAGCUGAACAUUUCAAAACUGUACUUGAUAGUUCUUUAACUUAAUUAGUGGACAGUACUCAGUGUCUCAGUACUCAGUGUCUUUUGAUGAAAGUUUAAAUAAGAAAGACCAAUCCAAGCAAAUGGAAAAGGCAUUUUAUUUAAAGGAAACUAACGUACAGUUUACGGACUUGAAAAUGAAUAUUUGGUCUUGGAAAGUCCUUGAAAAGUGCUUGAAUUUAGGUUUGAGAUUUCUGUUUGAACCAUGAGACAUCUAUAUAUUCAGCAAGGAACGAGAGCAAAUCAAGGAACAAUCGAAACGAUUCAUUCAGAAGUGUUUCUGCUGUAAAUAGUUAGGACAGUAGUAGCGUUACGGACUGUCCUCAGCGCACAAUUUAUUUAUGUGGUGCGCCUCAGAGGCGAAUUCCGCCCAUUAUUGAAAACAAGUUGCUAAAAGUAAACACAUCCGGUUUUGUUACGAGCACUUUGCACUCCGAGCCAAAGGGGCAUUGCAUUGAAUUGAGACUAAAGAAGGCUUGAAAACAUUACCCCAGUUUUGUUGUAUGGUCCAGUACGCCCUUCGACUCUCAACCUGAAGUUUAUCAGAACUCAAACUUGGCCCUUAACAAUAUCCGCGAGGCCAGCAUAUCAGCUCAGCUUCUGAGCUUCAGAGCCUGUUCCUCCUGGUCCAGGACCUUUGGACAAAUGUUCAAAUAGUACUACCCACAGGAUGAAGCCACUCUGAAUCCGGGGCUCCAUACUUUCUUGGCCAGGGGUGAAGACUACCUCGUCAAUAAGCAGAGCACCAGCAUUGAUAUCGAGUUGGCCCAGCAACCGCACAAGUCCUGCCUGCAGGAGCCCCAGUCCAGAACGACCCUUCCCCUCCCUUGACUUCUAACUCCUCCCCCUUGACCGCCUGCCUCAAAAAGUCAGCAUCGUUGAACAAUUCCGUUCUGCAGGAAAUUCUGAGCAUGAUUCUGUUCUGAAAAAACGCAAUGCCCACGUCACGUUUUCCAAACAUAAGCCUGGGUAGUUUUGUUAAGCUAGAGUUCCGCGUGGGCCUGAAAGGGACAAGUGUUACAGACACAAAUAGUUAUAGCAGUAGUUAUGGUAACGCUAACAGUUAGUUGUUGCUGUUGGACAUCACAACAAAUAUCAUGAAGAAUAAAUAUUUCAAUAAGUUGUUCCAAUCUUUAUGGGACAAACAGAAAUUGAACGGAAGAAAAUCAAGGAACAAUAAAAGCGUAAGCUUUCCUAGUGGGAUACAUCUGCUGUUGAUAGUUUGAACAACAGUAGGGUUACGGACUGCCCCAGAUUGUCCUCUCAGCGGCCUGAAUAUCAUAAUAGAACGGACUUUUGGCAAUAUUUCUGACAAAGAAAGGCAAUAAUGACUUGGUUGUGAAUACCCAGAGCACGAUACAUCCAUGCUGAAAGUUGAAACAGAAAGGCAGUCAUGACUAUGCAGUGAACACCCAGAGCAAGAUAUAUCCAUGCUGACACAGAAAGGAAGUAAUGACUAUGAUGUGAACACCCAGAGUAAGAUAUAUCUAUGCUGACACAGAAAGGCAGUAAUGACUAUGCUGUGAACACCCAGAGCACAAUACAUCCAUGCUGAAACAGAAAGGCAGUAAUGACUUGGUUGUGAACACAGAGCACAAUACAUCCUUGUUGACACAGAAAGGCAGUAAUGACUUUGCAGUGAACUCAGAGCACGAUACAUCAAUGCUGACACAGAAAGGCAGUAAUGACUUAGAUGUAAACACCCAGAGCACAAUACAUUCAUGAUUACACAGAAAGUCAGUAAAGACUUGGUUGUAAACACUAAGAUAUCCAUACAUCCAUGGGGUGUGCCACAGACGCAAAUUACGCCCACCAUUUUGAACAAGGUGCUUAAAGUGAACACGUCUGGUUUUGUUAUGAGCACUUAGCACUCCGAAUCCAAAAGGCCUCACAUUGAAUUGAUGCAAGAGAAGGCUUUGAAAAAUAACAGCAGUUUUGUUGUGUGGUCCAGUACGCCCUUCGACUCUCAACCUGAAGAAAGCAGAACUCAAACUCGUCUCUUAGCAUUAUCAGCAAGGCCAGCAUGUCAUCUCAGCUUCUAGAGCUUCAGUGAACUUAACUAUCAAACAUGACAAACGUCAUUGAAGUGAAAGUCGAUGACAACCUCCUUCUUGCACAAAUACUACAAUUGCUUAAGAAAUUCAGCACGAAGACGUCUUGCGUAAUACUACCAAGCCUCCUAUCAAUAUCUCCUCCCAUGUUGGGUACAUCAACACUUCCAACAUCAGAGCCUUGGUGAGUUCGACUUCCGUCUCAGCAUCGAUGUCGCUUAGCAACAAUUGGAUGAUGGGCGUCGACAAAUUAGGCCGGACAAGUCGCUCGAACUGAAACGAUCUUAUCCAAGAGGUAGAGCAGGCGUUGCGUGAUACGUCCGUUAAUGUGACUGACCUCGAUAUGUUGUUCUCAAAUAAAGGGAACCUUAGACCUGGAGAGCAGUAUGCCUUUUAACAACAGUUGUUGUCGGCAAUUCUCAUGUUUGGGGUGGCGACUUCAGCGUCAGGACUUGCUCCAUCUCUGUCUAUGGCCCAGUCGCAGCAGCAGCAGCAGCAGCAACAAGAACAAUAAGUAGUAUCUUAGAGGUGUUCUGGGAUACGGGGCUUCAAUUGCUUAAAUUGCUUCAAUGUGCUUAAAUUGUCAUCCCAGAUUAGCCUGUGCAGACUGCACCUACAUUAAGUCCUAUUAAAUUGUCAUCCCAGAUUAGCCUGUGCAGAAUGCACAUACAGUGACAUCCCAGAUUAGCAUGUGCAGACUGCACAUACAUUAAGUCCUAUUAAAGUGUCAUCCCAUAUUAGCCUGUACAGACUGCAUAUACAUUAAGUCAUAUUAAAGUGUCAUCCCAGAUUAGCCUGUGCAGACUGCACCUACAUUAAGUCCUAUUAAAUUGUCAUCCCAGAUUAGCCUGUGCAGAAUGCACAUACAGUGACAUCCCAGAUUAGCAUGUGCAGACUGCACAUACAUUAAGUCAUAUUAAAGUGUCAUUCCAGAUUAGCCUGUGCAGACUGCACAUACAUUAAGUCCUAUUAAAGUGUCAUCCCAUAUUAGCCUGUACAGACUGCAUAUACAUUAAGUCAUAUUAAAGUGUCAUCCCAGAUUAGCCUGUGCAGACUGCACAUACAUUAAGUCCUAUUAAAGUGUCAUCCCAUAUUAGCCUGUACAGACUGCACAUACAUCAAGUCCUAUUAAAGUGUCAUCCCAGAUUAGCCUGUGCAGACUGCACAUACAAUAAGUCAUAUUAAAGUGUCAUCCCAGAUUAGCCUGUGCAGACUGCACAUACAUUAAGUCCUAUUAAAGUGUCAUCCCAGAUUAGCCUGUGCAGACUACACAUGCAUUAAGCCCUAUUUUCUCAGAAUGAGACUCGUAUACUUCACUUAGUAUUUUAUGUGCCUGAAGGUUUCAAGCAUCAAAUGGGAAUUAUGUGCUUUUAAAUUGAUCACACAUAGAAAAUAAAAUGCAAAUAGCACUUGAUCUGGUAUCAAUUUUAAUCAUAGAAGGUCAGGGCAUUAAGUUUUGUACAUUUUCGACCAAAAUUCAGCCCCUGAACCAAAAGUUUAUCCUUGCAGAAAAAUCUGCUUUAAUAGAAUUGUUAAAUAAUAUUUAAUUUUAGUAAAAUAAUUAUGUAAAAGCCUUCAGCUCAUUUAAAAAUUAUUUUCUUCAUUUAUUAUCAAUAUUUAUUUAAAUUCCUGGAUUUUAUUUUAAAAGCCUGUUCCUACAGGAACCCAUGCAAUCAUAGAUCGGUACCUAGCUGAACAACAGGCUCUCUGGUCAGCUGGGCCCAGACGCCCAGGGACACUUUCUUGCCCAGGACCUUGGGGCAAAUGCUCAACUAGUCCUUCCCACAGGGUGUAGCCACUCUGAACCUGGGGCUCCAUACUUUCUUGGCCAGGGGCCAAGAUUACCUCGUCAAUAAGGUAGAGGUCUUAUACUCACAAGUUCAAGCCCAGUGAGCGAUGUUCACCAAAUCAAACUCUGCAUCUCAAUAGAAUCCCGGAUAUCAAAGCGUUGAGCUUGUUUUGAAGCAUUUGCACCAGCAACAGUCAUCAUCUCGAGUUACUGGCAUCUCUAUGGUGUUGAACCAUCCGUCUAUGAACAUCAUAACAGCACAUGAACCAGUGGCAGUCAUUAUCUCAAGAUUCUGGUAUAUCCAUAGUGCAGGACCCUUGGUCUGUAAAGAUCAUGCAGAGCGAACCUCAGAUGCCAUUUGACGAAAUCAAACCAUUCAACCAGAAACACAGCCUGUUGCAGCAGUUGUUACCAUUGACCCCAGUCAAACCUAAGAAGUCCAUAGAUAAAUACUUUUUAGAUGUGCUAGUCUCUACGUACCUCCUGGUUUGUUCAGCACUGACUCUGACUCUUUGAAUUUUAUGACGGGUGAAAAUGAAUGACCUUGUUCAGUUCGAAAUGGCAAAAUGACACAUGACAAUAAUUCAAGUGGAAAGCCACAAAGUCAUGUCAACAGCCACAUUUUGUAUGUGUAACAGCCAAGUUGUUUUCAAAGAAAAACAAAAGUUUAUGUUUUAUUUUUUAUGUGACCAAUGUUUCAUGGGUAUUAUGAUGCUGUCAGUCUCUUUCUGUUGAAAGUUUUGGUUAAACAUAGCAUGUUAAGUUUUUUUUAAAGCAUACAUAUUGCAUUUAUAUCCAAUGUCUUUGCCUGUAUAAUGAAUUUUUCACUACAUAUUUUGAUCCUUAUAAUGGUAUAUGUAUGGGAAAAACAAUUUUAUCAAAGAUAUUCUAAGAUUGUCAAGUCUGUUUAAAUGAUGCUGGUAACUGGAAAAAAAUAAAAAAAAUAUUGUAAUGUUUUCAUGUUAUAAGAUGAGUUUCAGUUGUCUGUUUUUAACCCGUUAAUAUAGAUAAGCUAAUUAAAAAUAUUUGUUCAGAAAGGUGUAAAAUGUUUUCGCUUCAGAUUUUUGUCUAUCAACCUUCUGAAAACAAUACAAGUGAAUUGGCUCAUUUGGGUCGGUAUUCGAUCAUGAAUCUUUUUUAGUAGCAUACUAUGUAUUUCAUGGGAAUAUAAAUAAAUUUUGGGCAAAAUUAUUUAAUCUACCUAAAAUAAUCGAUUCUGUAUUUACUACUAAUACUUUGUUGAUUUCAAUGGAUAGUGUUUGUUAAAUGAUAAGAGUAUGACUCUUGUUGAAAAGCUUUAAAUGAAACUGUGAAUUAAAAAAUAAAUAUUUAAUUAGUCUUAGAGUUUUAUGAAAAAUGGCAAAAGAUUGUUAAGUUCUGUUGUUAUAUCAUAUACUAAAAUGGUCAUAAGUGUUAACAUUUGUUUUCGGACAUAAUAGUUUAUUAUGCUUUAUAUUUGUAUAUGUACAUAAAGACGACAAGAUUGUAUCCUCUUUAAUCAGUGAGUAACUUAAUCAAGAUUUCUUGAUCACUGUAUCAAGUGUAUAUGUUGCCAUUUAUACAUAGAGCAACUGUAAAACAAUUGUAUUUUAAAUGUAAUGUAUCAAUGUAUUGUUGCCAUUUUUAUAAGAUAAACUCACUGUUAACAUAAAUUUGUACAAACCAUUGUUUAAAAAACAUUUCUUGUGUCAAUGCUAAAAUAUGUAUUAAACUGUUAAAAUAAUGCACAGUAACAACUUCUGAAGAGAAAAAUAUACUUAAGGCAAUAGAAACACAUUGUUAUAUGAAAUGCUUUUUAUUAAGAACACCUACUUAAAAUGUGUUUAAUUUUGUUUUACAUUAUCUGAAGAAAAAAUAGUACCUUGUAAUUUGAAAUCAGUCAAUGAAAAAUUAAGGGAGUGUUGCCAUAUGCUAACAAUAGUCAAGAAAUGCAAUUGUCUCUAUAAGUAAUACAACAGAGUAAUACAAUUUGCUUAAACAAGAGCACCGCAUAAAGGGUGCCAUGCUCGGCUACGGGUGCAGUUUUGAAUGAAUGAAAGCUUGUCAGAAUUUAUUUGAGAGGUCACAUUGACUUGACCAUUGAUCUAGUGACUCCAAAAUGGGUGCGGUGUGUAGAACUCAUCAAUGUGCAUUUACAUAUGAAUUUUGAAAGUUGUAGUUGGAAGCACUUUGAUUUUAGAGCCAAUGUUAAGGUUUAAGCACGACGCGGACGGCGGACAACACAACAAAUUGGCUAUGACAAUACCUCGGGUUUUCUCCGAAAAUACCGAGCUAAAAAUAAAAACUAAGAUGUCUGCUUUGCACUUUUUUUUUUAAAUAGACACUUAUAAAUGUGCUUAUAUUAAACGUGAACAGUAUUGACACAUUGCUAACGAUAAAGUUUAACAUUUUAUUAGUUUUGUAACAGCGUGUUUGACCUUUCACAUUGACCAUCCCACAAUUCCACAUUUGCUUUCAGUGGGGCCAGUUUCUGUAAAUCUUCCACUACAGGUUCAGCAAAUGUUUUAUGACCAGAUUUCCUCAUAUUUGGGAAUGUUUAUAUUUAACUUUUAUUGAAUGCAUGAAACAUGUUUGUUCUGUUUUUGAAUAGCUGAAAAUAGCUUGAUGUUUGUAAAUUGUGUGACAUGUUGAUCAAAUUGAUACAUAGAAAAAAACACAUUUUGCAUUAAUUUGUAUUUGUAUCUAAACAACACAUGUUACCAAAUACAAAUUUAAGUAUUUGGUAUAAAUAUAUAAGGAUUGUGCUAUAUUCGUAAUACCGUAUGAAAUGCAAUUUUAAUUAUAAUGUGUUGAUAUGUUUGUCUACUCCAAAUAAUCAUUUUAAAUAAGUAAAUAUAGGGUAAUAAUGUCUAUGGAAAGUACCCGUAGGCACGUUUCAAUUGCUUGUGUACCUCAUAUGGAUCAGGGUCUUUCUAAAUGAUUGCAUGAUUGUUAAUGCCUAUGUCUGAUUGUGUAAAUAUCUUCAAAGAUAUUUGUUAAAAGGAUUUUAAUAUUUAAAGAUAAACUAGCAUCUAAACUUUAACCGGGCAUCUUUUGCAUUUAUUUUAACGUGUUUAUAUUGUUUGGCUUACCGAGUUUAAUAUAGUCUAUAUUCGUGCGUAAUUUUAUUGUGGUUGUUUUGUUAAGACAAAGCGCAUAUCACUAAUGCUGUUGUUUUUGUUUUAUGUUAUAUGUAAAUAAUUAAACAUGUUUAUUUUGGUGAUAUGUAUUUCCCAAUCUAAAUGUAAUGUUGCAUUCUCAAUAAAGUACAUAGCCAUACACGUGGAAUAGUAUUGCUAAGUGACAAUAUGUUGUCUUUACAAAUAAAAUCCGCAAGGAUGGUCGUAUCAAUUAUAUAUAGCUUUCCCCUAUUGAACCUGGGUAAAAACGUGACCGUGAGUUCAUUUUGUUUUAUGUUGACUGCCAAUAUAUAUAUAUAGAAAGAAAUUUUUCAAACAGUGUAAAAAUGUGUAUCUUAUACCCUAGCGCUUUCGACUACACGUCUUCUUCAGGGGUGUAUACAGAUAUGAGUUAACGAUUCCCCAGUACGAAUGCACAAUAGAGGUUAACUUAUUGGCUUUCAGUCUUGUUUUUUUUAGUUAUGUGUCGUUUUAUUGUUGUAUUUAUUUAUUUAUGCAUAUUAAAAUUGUGUUAAAGACUGACGCCCGUAAUAUAAAUUAUAUCGAUGUAAUAAUGAAAAAUAUUAUAAUUUGCAGUGAAAGUUUUGCAUUCAGUUGUGUCAUAUUUAUUUUUCGUUUUAUGAUUAUGUACAUACACUUAUUAAAAUUGUGUGUUAUAAAAUGGCGCUUAAAAUGUUUAUUAUAUCGAUUUAACGUUUAAAUGAUUAAAAUGGAAGUUAGAAGUUA
Dreissena polymorpha is the source of this 8889-nucleotide RNA transcript. RefSeq lists it as uncharacterized. The record is from RefSeq and is a predicted model, not a curated record. Lineage: Eukaryota; Metazoa; Mollusca; Bivalvia; Myida; Dreissenidae. The transcript is spliced from 7 exons.